CGAACCGUGCGAACGUUAUUCGGAAUCACUGGGCUUAAAGGGCGCGUAGACGGGUCGCCGCGUCGGUCGCUGAAAGCCCCCGGCUCAACCGGGGAACGGGCACCGAAACGGGCGGCCUGGAGGGGAGUAGGGGGACCUGGAACUUCCGGUGGAGCGGUGAAAUGCGUUGAGAUCGGAAGGAACGCCCGUGGCGAAAGCGAGGUCCUGGGCUCCUGCUGACGCUGAGACGCGAAAGCCAGGGGAGCGAACGGGAUUGGAUACCCCGGUAGUCCUGGCCGUAAACGAUGGGCACUGGGUAGGGGGCUCGCCGAUGGGCUCCCUGCCGCAGCGAAAGCGUGAAGUGCCCCGCCUGGGGAGUAUGGUCGCAAGGCUG
RNAcentral lists this ribosomal RNA (373 nucleotides) under uncultured organism. Its description in RNAcentral is "bacterial SSU rRNA". It matches the Rfam family "Bacterial small subunit ribosomal RNA", at positions 526 to 896 of the family's 1533-position model. The record is from RNAcentral.